This 485-nucleotide ribosomal RNA is filed under the name uncultured bacterium. RNAcentral describes it as "bacterial SSU rRNA". It matches the Rfam family "Bacterial small subunit ribosomal RNA", at positions 33 to 507 of the family's 1533-position model. The record is from RNAcentral.
GACGACGCUGGCGGCGUGGAUUAGGCAUGCAAGUCGAACGGUAUCAUCCUUCGGGGGUGAGAGAGUGGCGAACUGGUGAGUAACACGUAGGUUAUCUACCCUCAAGACGGGGACAACCCAGGGAAACUUGGGCUAAUACCGGAUGUGAGCAACUUUUAGUUGUUUGAAAGGUGGCGUAAGCUGUCGCUUGGGGAUGAGCCUGCGUCCUAUUAGUUAGUUGGUGAGGUAACGGCUCACCUAGGCAAUGAUAGGUAGGCGGCCUUAACGGGUGGUCGCCCACACUGGGAUUGAGAUACGGCCCAGACUCCUACGGGAGGCAGCAGUCGAGAAUAGUCUACAAUGGUCGGAAGACUGAUAGUGCGACGCCGCGUGAACGAUGAAUCCCUUCGGGGUGUAAAGUUCUUUUAUAUGUGAGCAGUGCUUCUUAUAUUAACAGUAUGGGGAGAGAGAUAUUAGCAUAUGAAUAGGCAACGGCUAACUCCGUG